AACCCGGUGAUCUAGCCAUGGGCAGGUUGAAGGUUGGGUAACACUAACUGGAGGACCGAACCGACUAAUGUUGAAAAAUUAGCGGAUGACUUGUGGCUGGGGGGGAAAGGCCAAUCAAACCGGGAGAUAGCUGGUUCUCCCCGAAAGCUAUUUAGGUAGCGCCUCGUGAAUUCAUCUCCGGGGGUAGAGCACUGUUUCGGCAAGGGGGUCAUCCCGACUUACCAACCCGAUGCAAACUGCGAAUACCGGAGAAUGUUAUCACGGGAGACACACGGCGGGUGCUAACGUCCGUCGUGAAGAGGGAAACAACCCAGACCGCCAGCUAAGGUCCCAAAGUCAUGGUUAAGUGGGAAACGAUGUGGGAAGGCCCAGACAGCCAGGAUGUUGGCUUAGAAGCAGCCAUCAUUUAAAGAAAGCGUAAUAGCUCACUGGUCGAGUCGGCCUGCGCGGAAGAUGUAACGGGGCUAAACCAUGCACCGAAGCU
This 484-nucleotide ribosomal RNA is filed under the name Escherichia coli. Its description in RNAcentral is "bacterial LSU rRNA". It matches the Rfam family "Bacterial large subunit ribosomal RNA", at positions 719 to 1201 of the family's 2925-position model. Lineage: Bacteria; Pseudomonadati; Pseudomonadota; Gammaproteobacteria; Enterobacterales; Enterobacteriaceae. The record is from RNAcentral.